ACGAUUACCUGGUUGAUCCUGCCAGUAAUCAUAUGCUUGUCUCAAAGAUUAAGCCAUGCAUGUCUAAGUACAUGCCGAAAUAAGGCGAAACCGCGAAUGGCUCAUUAAAUCAGUUAUGGUUCCUUAGAUCGUUUCUUCCUACUUGGAUAACUGUGGCAAUUCUAGAGCUAAUACAUGCAGUGAGCCUGGAGCCCUUUGGGUAACGGGUGCUUUUAUUAGACCAAGAUCGAUCGGGUUUCGGCCCGUAUUGUGUGGUGACUCUGGAUAACUUUGUGCUGAUCGCAUGGCCACGAGCCGGCGACGUUUCUUUCAAGUGUCUGCCUUAUCAACUUUCGAUGGUAGGUUACUUGCUUACCAUGGUUGUUACGGGUAACGGAGAAUCAGGGUUCGAUUCCGGAGAGGGAGCCUGAGAAACGGCUACCACAUCCAAGGAAGGCAGCAGGCGCGCAAAUUACCCACUCCCGGCACGGGGAGGUAGUGACGAAAAAUAACAAUACG
RNAcentral lists this ribosomal RNA (498 nucleotides) under Burkholderia pseudomallei. Its description in RNAcentral is "SSU rRNA". It matches the Rfam family "Eukaryotic small subunit ribosomal RNA", at positions 1 to 487 of the family's 1831-position model. The record is from RNAcentral. Lineage: Bacteria; Pseudomonadati; Pseudomonadota; Betaproteobacteria; Burkholderiales; Burkholderiaceae.